AGUAGUGUGCGCCACUCUGGUGCUGGGUUGAUGAUAUUGUUACAGGAGUCGAAGGAAAGGCUAAAGAGGGCAAUAGAGUAAAAACACUAUCAAAUGGAAGGAAUUGCGGAGGGGGAUGGUGGUGGCAGCGGCGGUUACUGGUGGUGGGCCGCCGCAAGCACCGUUCAGUUGGUAUGGGGCAUACACUCCUAUCGAAGAGGCUUCGCCGGGGACUCCCGUUUCAUGCCCCUCAAAGCCUUUGCCGUCGCCUCCCUCUUCGUCGGCGCCACCGCCUCCGCCACCGUCGGGACCCUUCGUGCCUCCGGCAUCCACUCGGUGGGAGAUGCUAAAGAGCUGGGUGAAAGUAUAAGGACUGAACUUGGAAUUCCCCCGAAAGCGCGUGAUGAAUAGAUAUGAUCUCAAGAUCUUUGUAAUUUUGUCGCAUCCGAGUUAUGGAAAGAUUUUGGCUUUCUCUGGCUCUUUCUUGAAAAAUCAUUAAAGCCUCUCCUCUUGAACAAAUUCUAGUUGAGACUUGAGAGAGGACACAGAGGCAAAUAAGCACAGUUUUUCCUUUUACUAGUUUAUUUUCUUUGUUGAGAAUAGAGAAAACCCGGAAAUGAUCUAUUUAUGAGAAUUGUGUUUCUAAAACAUGUCCCGCUACUGUUUUACUUUCUGUGCUAUUCAGUCAUUCUUUAGUCUUCAUGAAGUAGAAAAACGAUAUUAUGUCUGGCAAGAAGCACUUGGGUCUAGGAAUAUGAUCGUUAGCCUGGAUUCCCAAAGUAGCUCUGGAGUUGCACCAGAAGGACUAUGGCAAGACAAAUGUUCCAGAAGUCGAAGCAAAUCAAACCGUCAUUUUGUCCUUGAUGAGCAAAUUGGAUUAAGAUGCUGCAUUGUUCUUAUGAAGACCUUGAGAUUAAACACGUAAUACCAACUUUGGUAAGCAAUUUCCACCCUCCAUUUAUUAAUGUAAUGUUCUACAGUAAGUCUUACAAUCAAGAAACUGCAUGCGGUCCA
Cornus florida is the source of this 993-nucleotide RNA transcript. RefSeq lists it as uncharacterized. The transcript has 3 exons. NCBI's taxonomy places the organism in Eukaryota, Viridiplantae, Streptophyta, Magnoliopsida, Cornales, Cornaceae. The record is from RefSeq and is a predicted model, not a curated record.